RNAcentral lists this unclassified non-coding RNA (402 nucleotides) under soil metagenome. RNAcentral describes it as "partial contains 5.8S ribosomal RNA, internal transcribed spacer 2, and large subunit ribosomal RNA". The stretch from base 1 to 121 matches the Rfam family "5.8S ribosomal RNA", at positions 35 to 154 of the family's 154-position model. The record is from RNAcentral.
GAUGAAGAACGUAGCGAAAUGCGAUAAGUAAUGUGAAUUGCAGAAUUCAGUGAAUCAUCGAAUCUUUGAACGCACCUUGCACCCUUUGGCUAUUCCGAAGGGUAUGCCUGUUAGAGUAUCAUGAACACCUCAACUCUCAUGGUUUGCCAUGAUGAGCUUGGACUUUGGGGGUCUUGCUGGCCUGUGGUCAGCUCCUCUCAAAUGGAUUAGCUUGCCAGUGUUUGGUGGCAUCACAGGUGUGAUAACUAUCUACGCUUGUGGUUUUCCACCAGGUAACCUUCAGCAAUGGGGGUUCGCUGGGGCUCAUAAAUGUCUCUCCUCAGUGAGGACAGCUCUUUGAACGUUUGAUCUCAAAUCAGGUAGGACUACCCGCUGAACUUAAGCAUAUCAAUAAGCGGAGGA